Molecule: ribosomal RNA, 259 nt
Filed under: uncultured bacterium
Lineage: Bacteria
Description: partial 16S ribosomal RNA
Rfam family: Bacterial small subunit ribosomal RNA
Source: RNAcentral
UACGUAGGGUGCGAGCGUUAAUCGGAAUUACUGGGCGUAAAGCGUGCGCAGGCGGUUUUGUAAGCCAGAUGUGAAAUCCCCGGGCUUAACCUGGGAAUGGCAUUUGGGACUGCAAGGCUCGAGUGCGGCAGAGGAGACUGGAAUUCCCGGUGUAGUGGUGGGAAUGCGUAGGAUAUCGGGAGGAACACCAGUGGGCGAAGGCGGUUGCCUGGGGGCUUUGCUGACGCUGAGGCGCGAAAGCGUGGGGAGCGAUCCGGAU